GGAUUAGAUACCCUGGUAGUCCACACCGUAAACGAUGAAUGCUAGUUGUCUGCGCGCAUGCGUGCAGGUGACGCAGCUAACGCAUUAAGCAUUCCGCCUGGGGAGUACGGCCGCAAGGUUAAAACUCAAAGAAAUUGACGGGGGCCCGCACAAGCGGUGGAGCAUGUGGUUUAAUUCGAAGCAACGCGCAGAACCUUACCCGCGUUUGACAUGCCCUGUUUGGUUACCAGAGAUGGUUUCCUUCAUUUAGUUGGCAGGUGCACAGGUGCUGCAUGGCUGUCGUCAGCUCGUGCUG
RNAcentral lists this ribosomal RNA (295 nucleotides) under uncultured bacterium. Its description in RNAcentral is "partial 16S ribosomal RNA". It matches the Rfam family "Bacterial small subunit ribosomal RNA", at positions 775 to 1067 of the family's 1533-position model. The record is from RNAcentral.